AGUGAACGCUGGCGGUAGGCCUAACACAUGCAAGUCGAACGGCAGCACAGUAAGAGCUUGCUCUUACGGGUGGCGAGUGGCGGACGGGUGAGGAAUACAUCGGAAUCUACUUUUUCGUGGGGGAUAACGUAGGGAAACUUACGCUAAUACCGCAUACGACCUACGGGUGAAAGCAGGGGAUCUUCGGACCUUGCGCGAUUGAAUGAGCCGAUGUCGGAUUAGCUAGUUGGCGGGGUAAAGGCCCACCAAGGCGACGAUCCGUAGCUGGUCUGAGAGGAUGAUCAGCCACACUGGAACUGAGACACGGUCCAGACUCCUACGGGAGGCAGCAGUGGGGAAUAUUGGACAAUGGACGCAAGCCUAAUCCAGCCAUACCGCGUGAGUGAAGAAGGCCUUCGGGUUGUAAAGCCCUUUUGUUGGGAAAGAAAAGCAGCAGGUUAAUACCCCGCUGUUCUGACGGUACCCAAAGAAUAAGCACCGGCUAACUUCGUG
RNAcentral lists this ribosomal RNA (492 nucleotides) under uncultured bacterium. RNAcentral describes it as "partial 16S ribosomal RNA". It matches the Rfam family "Bacterial small subunit ribosomal RNA", at positions 29 to 507 of the family's 1533-position model. The record is from RNAcentral.